GUCGGUAUUUCCGUCAGGGAGAAGCCCGCGUGGCAUUCUCGCAAUGAGUCAGUCGAAGAAGACAAAUGAAAGGGAAUGGACACAUCUGUAUGGACUAAGAACUCAUCAAAAAAAACCCAUAAAGCUUUUCGAUGAACUAAACUAUGAUAUACGGAAAUAGGAGUAUUGUAAAUAAUCGAAGAAUACGAACUAACUAGAACGAAGUUUGGCAUUUUUUAACAAUAAACUGUAACCGCA
Xenia sp. Carnegie-2017 is the source of this 237-nucleotide long non-coding RNA. RefSeq lists it as uncharacterized. Lineage: Eukaryota; Metazoa; Cnidaria; Anthozoa; Malacalcyonacea; Xeniidae. The record is from RefSeq and is a predicted model, not a curated record. The transcript is spliced from 2 exons.